Physeter macrocephalus (sperm whale) is the source of this 832-nucleotide long non-coding RNA. RefSeq lists it as uncharacterized. The record is from RefSeq and is a predicted model, not a curated record. Lineage: Eukaryota; Metazoa; Chordata; Mammalia; Artiodactyla; Physeteridae. The transcript is spliced from 3 exons.
ACCACCCACGUUUAAAGUGAGCUCCAGCUCUGUGGACAAACGUGUGAAGCCCUGCGUCUCCGGUAUGUGUGCGUCCUGGCGUAGCCUAGCAACAUCACAGACGCAGCGCUGGGUCCCUUGUCGCAACAUCCCUCUGACGUCAGUGGAAAAAAGCCGUGAGAUCGGAGGGCCCCCUCCUGCCUCCUCCCCGGGGUCCGCUCUUUGGCCCGGUCCUCGGGCUGCGCGGUCCCUUCCCCGGGGCGCGUCCAGCCAUAACAAAGCUCGGAGGACCAGGAGGGCUUUUCUUCCCAGGGCUGUCUCAAGUGAGAGGAGGCUUUUUUCCAGAAACCUCCCAGCAAGACUUCCCUUCGCAUCUCAUUGGGCCGAAGAAGGAUCGACUAAGUAGCUCAGAACAACCUCCCCAUCGUGAACAGUUAGUAAAGCUGGACGGACACAAACCCACGAUUCGCAGACACUGCUGAGCUGAUAAGACAGUGAAUCACAGGAGGAAGAGAAACCCUCAGUUUGCCUGAUGUCUGACUUUGCUGAUCCUCUGAAGAAGGACUAAGCGUACCAGCCACCACUUACACGGUCUCAGCAGGAUGAUUUGCACCUUGACGCGAAGGGCACACAGCGGCCUCGGGGACGCUCAGGUCCGAGCCGUUGCCGCGCCCCACGCCCGCCUUCCACGUCACCCCCUCUGUCACUGAAGGGCUCGCCAACAAAUAUCUAGUGCUCAGGGGCCGCCCACCAGGGGCGCGAAGAUACACAAAUACUGUCCCUGCCCUUAGGGGGCUCACAACCCAACACAAAAUGUAGACAUAGAGAAAUGAACAGGAUACAAGGCGAAAAU